RNAcentral lists this ribosomal RNA (556 nucleotides) under Burkholderia sp. RNAcentral's name for it is "bacterial SSU rRNA". It matches the Rfam family "Bacterial small subunit ribosomal RNA", at positions 208 to 749 of the family's 1533-position model. Lineage: Bacteria; Pseudomonadati; Pseudomonadota; Betaproteobacteria; Burkholderiales; Burkholderiaceae. The record is from RNAcentral.
GAUCUUCGGACCUCGCGCUAUAGGGGCGGCCGAUGGCGGAUUAGCUAGUUGGUGGGGUAAAGGCCUACCAAGGCGACGAUCCGUAGCUGGUCUGAGAGGACGACCAGCCACACUGGGACUGAGACACGGCCCAGACUCCUACGGGAGGCAGCAGUGGGGAAUUUUGGACAAUGGGCGAAAGCCUGAUCCAGCAAUGCCGCGUGUGUGAAGAAGGCCUUCGGGUUGUAAAGCACUUUUGUCCGGAAAGAAAUCCUGAUGGCUAAUAUCCGUCGGGGAUGACGGUACCGGAAGAAUAAGCACCGGCUAACUACGUGCCAGCAGCCGCGGUAAUACGUAGGGUGCAAGCGUUAAUCGGAAUUACUGGGCGUAAAGCGUGCGCAGGCGGUGAUGUAAGACCGAUGUGAAAUCCCCGGGCUCAACCUGGGAACUGCAUUGGUGACUGCAUCGCUUGAGUAUGGCAGAGGGGGGUAGAAUUCCACGUGUAGCAGUGAAAUGCGUAGAGAUGUGGAGGAAUACCGAUGGCGAAGGCAGCCCCCUGGGUCAAUACUGACGCUCA